UUAAGCGACUAAGCGUACACGGUGGAUGCCCUGGCAGUCAGAGGCGAUGAAGGACGUGCUAAUCUGCGAAAAGCGUCGGUAAGGUGAUAUGAACCGUUAUAACCGGCGAUGUCCGAAUGGGGAAACCCAGUGCAAUUCGUUGCACUAUCGUUAACUGAAUACAUAGGUUAACGAGGCGAACCGGGGGAACUGAAACAUCUAAGUACCCCGAGGAAAAGAAAUCAACCGAGAUUCCCCCAGUAGCGGCGAGCGAACGGGGAGCAGCCCAGAGUCUGAAUCAGCUUGUGUGUUAGUGGAACGGUCUGGAAAGUCCGACGGUACAGGGUGAUAGUCCCGUACACCAAAAUGCACAGGCUGUGAACUCGAAGAGUAGGGCGGGACACGUGGUAUCCUGUCUGAAUAUGGGGGGACCAUCCUCCAAGGCUAAAUACUCCUGACUGACCGAUAGUGAACCAGUACCGUGAGGGAAAGGCGAAAAGAACCCCGGCGAGGGGAGUGAAAAAGAACCUGAAACCGUGUACGUACAAGCAGUGGGAGCACCUUUAUGGUGUGACUGCGUACCUUUUGUAUAAUGGGUCAGCGACUUAUAUUCUGUAGCAAGGUUAACCGUAUAGGGGAGCCGCAGGGAAACCGAGUCUUAACUGGGCGUUAAGUUGCAGGGUAUAGACCCGAAACCCGGUGAUCUAGCCAUGGGCAGGUUGAAGGUUGGGUAACACUAACUGGAGGACCGAACCGACUAAUGUUGAAAAAUUAGCGGAUGACUUGUGGCUGGGGGUGAAAGGCCAAUCAAACCGGGAGAUAGCUGGUUCUCCCCGAAAGCUAUUUAGGUAGCGCCUCGUGAACUCAUCUUCGGGGGUAGAGCACUGUUUCGGCUAGGGGGUCAUCCCGACUUACCAACCCGAUGCAAACUACGAAUACCGAAGAAUGUUAUCACGGGAGACACACGGCGGGUGCUAACGUCCGUCGUGAAGAGGGAAACAACCCAGACCGCCAGCUAAGGUCCCAAAGUCAUGGUUAAGUGGGAAACGAUGUGGGAAGGCACAGACAGCCAGGAUGUUGGCUUAGAAGCAGCCAUCAUUUAAAGAAAGCGUAAUAGCUCACUGGUCGAGUCGGCCUGCGCGGAAGAUGUAACGGGGCUAAACCAUGCACCGAAGCUGCGGCAGCGACACUAUGUGUUGUUGGGUAGGGGAGCGUUCUGUAAGCCUGCGAAGGUGGCCUGUGAGGGUUGCUGGAGGUAUCAGAAGUGCGAAUGCUGACAUAAGUAACGAUAAAGCGGGUGAAAAGCCCGCUCGCCGGAAGACCAAGGGUUCCUGUCCAACGUUAAUCGGGGCAGGGUGAGUCGACCCCUAAGGCGAGGCCGAAAGGCGUAGUCGAUGGGAAACAGGUUAAUAUUCCUGUACUUGGUGUUACUGCGAAGGGGGGACGGAGAAGGCUAUGUUAGCCGGGCGACGGUUGUCCCGGUUUAAGCAUGUAGGCUGGUUAUCCAGGCAAAUCCGGAUAAUCAAGGCUGAGGUGUGAUGACGAGGCACUACGGUGCUGAAGUAACAAAUGCCCUGCUUCCAGGAAAAGCCUCUAAGCAUCAGGUAACAUCAAAUCGUACCCCAAACCGACACAGGUGGUCAGGUAGAGAAUACCAAGGCGCUUGAGAGAACUCGGGUGAAGGAACUAGGCAAAAUGGUGCCGUAACUUCGGGAGAAGGCACGCUGGUGUGUAGGUGAAGUCCCUGCGGAUGGAGCUGAGACCAGUCGAAGAUACCAGCUGGCUGCAACUGUUUAUUAAAAACACAGCACUGUGCAAACACGAAAGUGGACGUAUACGGUGUGACGCCUGCCCGGUGCCGGAAGGUUAAUUGAUGGGGUUAUCCGUAAGGAGAAGCUCUUGAUCGAAGCCCCGGUAAACGGCGGCCGUAACUAUAACGGUCCUAAGGUAGCGAAAUUCCUUGUCGGGUAAGUUCCGACCUGCACGAAUGGCGUAAUGAUGGCCAGGCUGUCUCCACCCGAGACUCAGUGAAAUUGAACUCGCUGUGAAGAUGCAGUGUACCCGCGGCAAGACGGAAAGACCCCGUGAACCUUUACUAUAGCUUGACACUGAACAUUGAGCCUUGAUGUGUAGGAUAGGUGGGAGGCUUUGAAGCGUGGACGCCAGUCUGCGUGGAGCCAACCUUGAAAUACCACCCUUUAAUGUUUGAUGUUCUAACGUUGGCCCCUUAUCGGGGUUGCGGACAGUGUCUGGUGGGUAGUUUGACUGGGGCGGUCUCCUCCCAAAGCGUAACGGAGGAGCACGAAGGUUAGCUAAUCCUGGUCGGACAUCAGGAGGUUAGUGCAAUGGCAUAAGCUAGCUUGACUGCGAGCGUGACGGCGCGAGCAGGUGCGAAAGCAGGUCAUAGUGAUCCGGUGGUUCUGAAUGGAAGGGCCAUCGCUCAACGGAUAAAAGGUACUCCGGGGAUAACAGGCUGAUACCGCCCAAGAGUUCAUAUCGACGGCGGUGUUUGGCACCUCGAUGUCGGCUCAUCACAUCCUGGGGCUGAAGUAGGUCCCAAGGGUAUGGCUGUUCGCCAUUUAAAGUGGUACGCGAGCUGGGUUUAGAACGUCGUGAGACAGUUCGGUCCCUAUCUGCCGUGGGCGCUGGAGAAUUGAGGGGGGCUGCUCCUAGUACGAGAGGACCGGAGUGGACGCAUCACUGGUGUUCGGGUUGUCAUGCCAAUGGCACUGCCCGGUAGCUAAAUGCGGAAGAGAUAAGUGCUGAAAGCAUCUAAGCACGAAACUUGCCCCGAGAUGAGUUCUCCCUGAGACUUUAAGUCUCCUGAAGGAACGUUGAAGACGACGACGUUGAUAGGCCGGGUGUGUAAGCGCAGCGAUGCGUUGAGCUAACCGGUACUAAUGAACCGUGAGGCUUAACCUU
RNAcentral lists this ribosomal RNA (2901 nucleotides) under human gut metagenome. Its description in RNAcentral is "bacterial LSU rRNA". It matches the Rfam family "Bacterial large subunit ribosomal RNA". The record is from RNAcentral.